Molecule: ribosomal RNA, 227 nt
Filed under: uncultured bacterium
Lineage: Bacteria
Description: partial 16S ribosomal RNA
Rfam family: Bacterial small subunit ribosomal RNA
Source: RNAcentral
GAUCAUGGCUCAGAUUGAACGCUGGCGGCAGGCCUAACACAUGCAAGUCGAGCGGAUGAAGAGAGCUUGCUCCCUGAUUCAGCGGCGGACGGGUGAGUAAUGCCUAGGAAUCUGCCUGAUGGUGGGGGACAACGUUUCGAAAGGAACGCUAAUACCGCAUACGUCCUACGGGAGAAAGCAGGGGACCUUCGGGCCUUGCGCUAUCAGAUGAGCCUAGGUCGGAUUAG